CUGCCGGCGACCGGCGCACGGGUGAGUAACACGUAUGGAACCUGCCCGCAGCAGGGGGAUAAGCGGAAGAAAUCCCGCCUAAUACAACAUAAUGCCGGGAGGGGACAUCCCCUGCCGGUCAAAGGGGGCGACCCCGGUCAUGGAUGGGCAUGCGGCGCAUUAGGUAGUUGGUGGGGCAACGGCCCACCAAGCCGACGAUGCGUAGGGGUUCUGAGAGGAAGGUCCCCCACAUUGGAACUGAGACACGGUCCAAACUCCUACGGAAGGCAGCAG
RNAcentral lists this ribosomal RNA (273 nucleotides) under uncultured bacterium. RNAcentral's name for it is "partial 16S ribosomal RNA". It matches the Rfam family "Bacterial small subunit ribosomal RNA", at positions 85 to 354 of the family's 1533-position model. The record is from RNAcentral.